This is a small nuclear RNA of Cajanus cajan (pigeon pea), 117 nucleotides long. It matches the Rfam family "U5 spliceosomal RNA". From Rfam's summary of the family: U5 RNA is a component of both types of known spliceosome. The precise function of this molecule is unknown, though it is known that the 5' loop is required for splice site selection and p220 binding, and that both the 3' stem-loop and the Sm site are important for Sm protein binding and cap methylation. Lineage: Eukaryota; Viridiplantae; Streptophyta; Magnoliopsida; Fabales; Fabaceae. The record is from Rfam.
AGCCGUGUGAUAAAUACAUAGCGAACUAUUCUUUCGCCUUUUACUAAAGAAUACCGUGUGUUUGUCACUAUAAGCGGCAUAAGCCAGUUUUUGGGAAGGGUCUUCUUAGGAGGGCCU